CCUACGGGAGGCAGCAGUGAGGAAUAUUGGUCAAUGGGCGGAAGCCUGAACCAGCCAAGUAGCGUGCAGGAUGACGGCCCUAUGGGUUGUAAACUGCUUUUAUCCGGGAAUAACGUGACUUACGUGUGGGGCUUUGCAUGUACCUUAUGAAUAAGGAUCGGCUAAAUCCGUGCCAGCAGCCGCGGUAAUACGGAGGGUCCGGGCGUUAUCCGGAUUUAUUGGGUUUAAAGGGUGCGUAGGCGGCGUGUCAAGUGCGCUGUGAAAUGUCCGGGCUCAACCCGGGCCUUGCAGGGGGAACUGGCGGGCUUGAGUCCGCGAGAAGCAGGCGGAAUGCGUGGUGUAGCGGUGAAAUGCUUAGAUAUGACGAAGAACCACGAUUGCGAAGGCAGCUUGCUGGAGCGCAACUGACGCUGAUGCACGAAAGCGCGGGUAUCGAACAGGAUUAGAUACCCUAGUAGUC
This 460-nucleotide ribosomal RNA is filed under the name uncultured bacterium. RNAcentral describes it as "partial 16S ribosomal RNA". It matches the Rfam family "Bacterial small subunit ribosomal RNA", at positions 338 to 795 of the family's 1533-position model. The record is from RNAcentral.